CGAUCUGCUGGGGACAGAUGAAAUGAAUGUGGGUGUCAAUGCCGCCCGCCGUUACAAUCAUUCCCUCGCCGGCCAGAGCCUCUGUGGAAGCUCCCACCGUCAUUCCCGGAGUUACGCCGUCCAUCACACUGGGAUUCCCCGCUUUUCCGAUCCCUUUGAUUUUUCCGUCCUUGAUCCCUAUAUCUGCUUUGACGAUCCCCGUGCUGUCCACGAUCAGGGCGUUCGUGAUAACAAGAUCCAGGUCGCCGUCGGCGCUUGUGGUCUUUACCGACUGUCCCAUGCCGUCCCG
RNAcentral lists this small RNA (289 nucleotides) under uncultured Blautia sp. RNAcentral describes it as "5' ureB small RNA". It matches the Rfam family "5' ureB small RNA". Lineage: Bacteria; Bacillati; Bacillota; Clostridia; Lachnospirales; Lachnospiraceae. The record is from RNAcentral.